This is a long non-coding RNA of Cyanistes caeruleus (blue tit), 2395 nucleotides long. RefSeq lists it as uncharacterized. The record is from RefSeq and is a predicted model, not a curated record. Lineage: Eukaryota; Metazoa; Chordata; Aves; Passeriformes; Paridae.
CCAUCUCCUUCAUGUGUGUCUCACUUUGUAUUGAAUGAUGUUAAGCAGAGCUGGAGCUGGCGCCUCGGCCUCAUUACCUUCAAUUACAGUAAUUGUUGCCUCUCUCCAGUGUUUUGCAUUUCUCCCUGGGGGAAAUCUCUCUGCUGCUUCUUUUCCAGUCUUGCUCCAGCUUUCUCCUAUCGAUUGGAUCGCUCUGGCCCCGAUUCUAGGAGCGAUGCCUCCAGGAGGAUAAAUGCAAAUCGCCCUAUUGAUUGGGAGGAGUAGAAGUGCAGCUCGUUUGGGGGAGGGAGGAUUCGUUUUAAAUGAAGAAAAAAAGUAAAGUGAUGAGCAUGACAGGAAAUGCUUCACUUUCUGGGCCUCUUAAGUAGUGUCUCUUUAUCAUGUCCUGUGUCUGAGGGGGAUGUAGAUUGGUGCCAUCUGGAUAAUGUAUUACAUUCAUGGAGAGGUGGAUCCCGCGACACAGACACUAGUCUGGUUUCCUACUCAUUUUAGGUGAACAUGUAUCACUGAUCAUUUCUGGAACGCAGCUCCCCUCCUCCACUUUGAAGGUGACUGGGUUUCACUGGGGACACGCUAAUUGCUGCUGAAAAUGAGCAGGGAGUAAUGUGGAGGCCUCUAUCCACCUCCUUGAACUGCCCAGUGACAGGGGUAAGGCUCCUUGGGAGUUAUUAACCUUGAGGGAACCAGCUCAGCAGCCUGUCUGUCACAGGGGAGCGGCUGGAGGAGCCAGCCUGUGGGCUCUGCAUAGCCUUGGAUCCUGAAAUGGCUACUUGCUUCAGUAAAUCCAUGGCCAGAUUCAGAAGUGGAAAGCCAAAAGAAUUGCACAGUCACGGAAAGGCCUAAACCCCUCAUGGUGGCCAUCCUCUCAUGCCAAUGCUGGGACUCUCAGGCACAUGGAGAUUCUGGAGAAGGUGAUGGAUGUGAUUUGGGACUUCACUGGAGGGACUCUGACAUUUGGAAGCAGACUCUUGCACAGCUGCACUGCUCACAUGCUCCUGAGCCUCUUCUGGAAUGUGACUGUAGAGAAGAGCAGGUGUUGUCCUGAGCUUUGCUGGCCUGUCAGGAGAAAUCCUGUUCUGGAAUAGUUCAGGACACUAGGUGCUCACCUGAAUUGGUCUUUUAGAAGGAUUCGUCAGUCCUUCCAGAAACUUGGCACUGCAACUGUUGGCUUCUGAAACGAAGUAAAAGAAUCAAACCAGCAUUUGUGUGGCCUGCAAAGACUCGUUGGAUGGAUCUCUUGUUUUAGUUGGCAAUUUCUUCUUAAAGAGAAGAUUUCACAUCUGUGACAGAGCUUUGAGCUGAUGCAGAGAAUGUGCUCCUGUGAGAUGCUGCCCAAAGCAGUCCCUUUCUGUGAGAUGCCCAGAGGCUGAUUUUGCAACCAGGUCCUUCUGUUCAUGUUGGCUUCAAAGGCCUUCACGUAUCUGGUGGGAGGGAACAGCCCUGUGCUCUGCAGGCUCUGACUACAGGCUCUGUAGUCCAUUCAAGUGGAGGCUUUAGGCUGCUCUCCCAUGGCUGCUGGAGACAUGUAAUGCGGCCUCAGGCUCCUGACGCUUUCCUUGAUGGUUCGUUAUAGUCAUUAUCCCACAUUCCUUCUGGUUGCAGAACAUGUUGUUAUUAUUGCUUUGUGCUGGGUCUGUCUCCUGUCCCUUUUUUACAGGCCAAUCCGGCCCUAUUAGCUCUUGUCUCUAAAACAAAAGCAAAUUAGCACUGCAGAAGCUGAAUUAUCUUGUUUAUGUUAUAGUAUGUCAGGGGACCCCACACAAUCCUUGCAUGUCUCUCUGAGCAGUGUGCCAGAGAGUGAAGAGACACAGUAAGUCGGUCAAACCCUCCUGGCACUCUGACCCAAUCCACAGGUUUCCAAAAGGGUCUUUAGUUGCUUUGGGGAAGCUAAGGCUGGUCAGUGAUCCCUGCUGUCCCUCCCUCAGUUUUGGUAUUUUAUGCACGCUUGUGCAUACAGAACUAGAAAUUUUUUUACAGUAAAUUGUACCUCUCAACUCAAACUUGACAGCUGUCAAUGAAAUUUGCUGUUCAAAACUGAUCUCAAGCACAUUGCCCUCUGGUUAGUCUGUCUGUGCUCCCUUGGCCAGGAUGUUUAUAAUACUCAGGGAGUCUCUCAUGUUACUUAGUGCAGUAAUGUGGCUCCAUGAAUAAAAGCCAUUUCCAGUCUGUCGGUACUGCAUGUAACAAAUGAGAUCUGUUAAAUGCGCUUGUCACCAUUGAUAGGAACAGGAGAAGCAGAAUUGCACAUGUUGCUGUAAUGAUUCUAAGUUAUAAUGAAUGAUAUUUUGUAUGUUUGCAAAUGAGUGUCUGAUAGCUGGUGCCAGACUGGGAGAUAUGGCUUGGCUGUUCCUGCUGUUUUUGUAAUUUCUAAAUUCAAAGAAGAAUUAGAAAAUUA